AGGGCAAAGAAGUUUGCGUUAAACAUGUUUGUGUGUGUGUACACACAGCCAUGUUGUCAGUAGUGUGUGCUCAGAGCCGUGUCACUCGCUCGGCUUAUUCAACGCACACAUUGGGUCGCGCGGGGGUCUGGCCAGAACUCGAAACGCUAGUGGCUGAUGACGGGGUGGUGUUGCCCUGGAGUGGGUGGGGUUUGGUUUGAGUGGGCGGAGACUUUGGAAUACUGACAGCGUCCAGCGCGCAGCACACAAAUACAUGCACACAUUCACAUAUAACAGUGAAUAAGACACGGUUGUUCUCCGCAUAGAGAGACUCUUUCCUCAUUUAUCUGAGGUAGAUAUCAUGGCUGUGGCCGGGUGUCCAGAUUAUUUUCUACUCCAUCCAAAUUACCAGCAGGAUAAUGUAGACCGAGCUGCCAAUCACAGACAGGCGGAUUUAAUUGGACCAAGUUUUCAGCAGUCAACCAAUCAGAAUUCACCCAGCCAUCAAGGUCAGUGAACUAAUAAUUUGGAUGUGCACUUUAUACAUUUCUUACAAUAAGAUACUCUGCCUGUAAUGUUUGUAAUGACAGUAUUUUUUUUUUUUUGUGUGUGUGGUUAUGGUGUAUGAUAAUGAUGUAUGGUCUUAAUAUCCAAAACAGAGGUAGCAUGUUUUAAUAGAUGUGCAGAAUUGCUUCUAGUUUAAUUACUCACACAGUUAACAAGUGAGUAUGUGUGUGCAUACUUGAUUAUGGGCGGGUGCCGUCUGUCUCACACAUUUGGACUUUGGUCGGGGCUGUCUGUCGUAGACACCUUUUAUAGUUGGAGACUUGCUCAUUAAGUUCAAACUGGGAUCUAUAUUCAGGCCUCUUCCGCUGUAAACACUCCAGCAGUUCAAAGGCUUGAUUUGUAAAGACACAGGGUGCCACUCAUUAAGCCUCCAACCUAAUUGUGCCAUACAAAAAUACAGAGGCAUGUUAUUUGGAGCAUGAGAUUUAAGCACAAUAUCGCCUCAGCAUGGGAGGUAGAGCCUUUUUUUCCCCCUGAAAAUCUGAUGUUGUCAUUGAAGUAAAUGGAUUCAUUUCUCAUUUAGAAUUUUUUUAGUACACUGAAAAAAUUCUCACAGCUGUA
This is a long non-coding RNA of Cyprinus carpio (common carp), 1107 nucleotides long. RefSeq lists it as uncharacterized. The record is from RefSeq and is a predicted model, not a curated record. NCBI's taxonomy places the organism in Eukaryota, Metazoa, Chordata, Actinopteri, Cypriniformes, Cyprinidae. The transcript is spliced from 3 exons.